Molecule: long non-coding RNA, 292 nt
Filed under: Trifolium pratense (red clover)
Lineage: Eukaryota; Viridiplantae; Streptophyta; Magnoliopsida; Fabales; Fabaceae
Description: long non-coding RNA (TPRA_LNC012076)
Source: RNAcentral
UGUUGAAUACUAAUGUUAUUUAUGGUAUUGCAAAUGAUUGUUGGUAAUGAUGUGCAUUGUAUGGUUAUUGUUGGUUGGAUCUUUGCAGUCGUUGUUUUGGUUACCAUAAGCUAUAGUGAGGGGGGAUUAAGACAUCAUAUCAUAUACACAGCCAAGUGUGAAAAGUUCAUGUCCCUAUAUUAUUUAUAUGUUGUUAUAUGUGUAGGAUAUUUCAUAUCUUAAUUUAUUUUAAAGUUAAUUUAUAUAUAUUUAUCAUUAACAUUAUUAUUUGCCGUUGUUAUUGCUUAGUCAA